ACCUCUAAUAUAAAACUUUAACAUAGGCUCUAAAAUCAAAGUGCUUUGACCUACAACUUUGAAACUUCAUAUGUAGAUGCACCUUGAUGAGUUCUACAUGCCACACCCAUUUUUGGGUCACUAGGUCAAAGGUCAAGGUCACUGUGACCUCUAAUAUAAAACUUAAACAUAGGCUCUAAAAUCAAAGUGCUUCCACCUACAACUUUGAAACUUCAUAUGUAGAUGCACCUUGAUGAGUUCUACACGCCACACCCAUUUUUGGGUCACUAGGUCAAAGGUCAA
Dreissena polymorpha is the source of this 282-nucleotide long non-coding RNA. RefSeq lists it as uncharacterized. NCBI's taxonomy places the organism in Eukaryota, Metazoa, Mollusca, Bivalvia, Myida, Dreissenidae. The record is from RefSeq and is a predicted model, not a curated record. The transcript has 2 exons.